RNAcentral lists this ribosomal RNA (319 nucleotides) under uncultured Bacteroidales bacterium. RNAcentral's name for it is "partial 16S ribosomal RNA". The record is from RNAcentral. Lineage: Bacteria; Pseudomonadati; Bacteroidota; Bacteroidia; Bacteroidales.
GGAGUAUGGACCGUGUCUCAGUUCCAUUGUGGGGGACCUUCCUCUCAGAACCCCUACCCAUCGUCGCCUCGGUGGGCCGUUACCCCGCCGACUAGCUAAUGGGACGCGAGCCAAUCCGUGACCACCAAGGUUUUCAAUCAACCACCAUGCGAUGACUGAUCAUAUGGGGGGUUAGGCGACGUUUCCAUCGGUUAUCCCCCGGUCACGGGCAUGUCGCUCACGCGUUACGCACCCGUGCGCCGGUCGCCAUCAUCGGUUGCAAGCAACCGACAUGCUGCCCCUCGACUUGCAUGUGUUAAGCCUGUAGCUAGCGUUCAUC